This 483-nucleotide ribosomal RNA is filed under the name uncultured bacterium. RNAcentral's name for it is "partial 16S ribosomal RNA". It matches the Rfam family "Bacterial small subunit ribosomal RNA", at positions 30 to 507 of the family's 1533-position model. The record is from RNAcentral.
AUUGAACGCUGGCGGCAGGCCUAACACAUGCAAGUCGAGCGGAUGAAGGGAGCUUGCUCCUGGAUUCAGCGGCGGACGGGUGAGUAAUGCCUAGGAAUCUGCCUGGUAGUGGGGGAUAACGUCCGGAAACGGGCGCUAAUACCGCAUACGUCCUGAGGGAGAAAGUGGGGGAUCUUCGGACCUCACGCUAUCAGAUGAGCCUAGGUCGGAUUAGCUAGUUGGUGGGGUAAAGGCCUACCAAGGCGACGAUCCGUAACUGGUCUGAGAGGAUGAUCAGUCACACUGGAACUGAGACACGGUCCAGACUCCUACGGGAGGCGGCAGUGGGGAAUAUUGGACAAUGGCGAAAGCCUGAUCCAGCCAUGCCGCGUGUGUGAAGAAGGUCUUCGGAUUGUAAAGCACUUUAAGUUGGGAGGAAGGGCAGUAAGUUAAUACCUUGCUGUUUUGACGUUACCAACAGAAUAAGCACCGGCUAACUUCGUG